AGUGAACGCUGGCGGCAGGCCUAACACAUGCAAGUCGAACGGCAGCACAAGAGAGCUUGCUCUCUGGGUGGCGAGUGGCGGACGGGUGAGGAAUGCAUCGGAAUCUGCCCAUUUGUGGGGGAUAACCUCGGGAAACCGGGACUAAUACCGCAUACGACCUACGGGUGAAAGCAGGGGAUCUUCGGACCUUGCGCAGAUGGAUGAGCCGAUGCCGGAUUAGCUAGUUGGAGGGGUAAAGGCCCACCAAGGCGACGAUCCGUAGCUGGUCUGAAAGGAUGAUCAGCCACACUGGGACUGAGACACGGCCCAGACUCCUACGGGAGGCAGCAGUGGGGAAUAUUGGACAAUGGGCGCAAGCCUGAUCCAGCCAUGCCGCGUGUGUGAAGAAGGCCUUCGGGUUGUAAAGCACUUUUGUUGGGAAAGAAAAGCAGCCGGUUAAUACCCGGUUGUCAUGACGGUACCCAAAGAAUAAGCACCGGCUAACUUCGUG
Molecule: ribosomal RNA, 490 nt
Filed under: uncultured bacterium
Lineage: Bacteria
Description: partial 16S ribosomal RNA
Rfam family: Bacterial small subunit ribosomal RNA
Source: RNAcentral